Molecule: long non-coding RNA, 2187 nt
Organism: Aegilops tauschii subsp. strangulata
Lineage: Eukaryota; Viridiplantae; Streptophyta; Magnoliopsida; Poales; Poaceae
Source: RefSeq, a predicted model, not a curated record
AAUCAGGGAGGAGUUCGCGGACAGCUUGGAGCAGCCAAAUCCGAACACUCUAGGGUUCCUCCGUCCGUCCAUGGCCGCUGGGCUGCAUCGCCGCUCACGCCGUUGCCACCGCCCCAUCGACGUCGACCCCGACGCCACCGCUGCUCUCUAGAUCUCAGUCUCGCCGGCGCUCCUCACUGCCUUGCUCCCCUCUACUGGACAGCUGCUCGCCGGUGUCGUCUUUCUCCUGUACUGGUCGGCGGCAUCUCGUUCUCGGGCACUAACAAGUCCAUGUCCCCUUCAUUCUGCACGAGAUCUCUAGCCCGACAGCCUCCACCAGACACCACGGGUUCCCACUCCUGGAGGAGUUCACCAACAGCCAUCGACAACCAGAUCCAAUACUUCUGGUGUUGUUACCGUCAGACGAGACCAACAGAUCCGUGCCAGCAGACUCGAAUACUGAGUCUGGAUGCCAGGCGAAGCCACGGUAGGGCUUGCGGCGGAGACGGGAGGUAUCUCCAACUCGUUCCACACAGUCAGCUGACAGGGUCAACCCCGAGGCGUAAUGCACCCUUCAUCGGACCUGAAGGCUGAGCUGACUCCUGGUGGUGAGGUGACGUUAAAUGUCCGGAGAUGCAUGCAGCACAUGCUGAAUGCAAAUGAGAAGAGGAUGUACCGCGUGUGGCUCGCGAGGUGGAGGGAUCCGUGCUUUGUGAGCUUUGCAGGGCAGACAAUGAAGUGGACUGGGAUGAACUUUAAUUGAUAGCGUACAAAAUUGAUUGGCUGAAGAAGUUGAUGUUCCCAGUGCUUUUCGUGGACCGCUGGUCAUUAUACAUUCUCGAUACCGAGAAGAAGGUUGUGAUGGUGCUUGACCCAACCGAGACAGGUCCGACAGAUGAGAUGAAGAGGAAGCACGAGGCAUUAGCGAGGAAGUUCCGGUUUAGAUUCUGCCACCUGUCCAAUGUCAUGUUCGGUGCAGGGUUGGUCGAGACGACUGGCUGGACAUUUGUGUACCCCCUGGUGGCGCAGCACGAACCAUGCAUGAGGUGAGUUCAUCUCUGUGGAUCAUGAAAAAGGAAAAAGAAAAUGCCUGCCUUGACACUAAUAUCCGGACACCAUGCUAGUACAGGAUAGCGGUGUGUAUGUCAUGCACUACAUUCUGGAGUUUUUUUUUUUUUGAAUAAAAAGGUAGGGUACCUUCUACCUUAUGCAUUCAAAACGGGCAGUGCCCGGAUGACCGAGGUUAUUUACAUGAAGGUGAUGUUAACGCUGCGCGGGGGAUGCAGCAGGCCAUCACCAGACCUUAACAUGAAAAGAGGAGUAGGAAGGGAAAGAAAAAGGGAAAAGAGGGAAAGAGAAAGAAGAAGAAGAGGGGAGCCGGCAUGUGUCUAUCCUGAAGUAAGAAGAUAUGCCCUGCCCGCAUGGUGGCCCUGGAGUCGGCAUCGCAUGCGCGCGCGGUCCACAACGUGAGCAACUCAGCCGCCUCAUGGAAGAUCCGCCGCGACCGCCAGAGUUCAUUCCUGAAGACCUGCGCGUUUCUGGCGUUCCAUAGGCUGGUUGCGCAUGCGGCGAAAAGGAUAUGCCACAGCUUGCCAUGGAUGGCCCCUGGUUGCUCCGCCUUGAAGAGUGUGGGAUUCCAUCGGAGGAGACGGCAAUCUCCGCCAGUCUGCAUCUUAGUAUGACAUGGCUCAUUGUUUCUGUGGCUGGGCAUAGAUCACAUCCAUUGUGUGCUACAAUCUUGUCCCAUCUUCAUUCUGGAGUUCACUGGUCUUUACCUUCGUUCGAUGCUUACCCAACAGGCACAGCUUGAGCACCUAAAUAAGAAAGAAAAUUGCAUACGAGGUCGUGAUCAUGAAGGGGAACAAGGGAGAUAUCCUGUAUUUCCUGCACAACGAAAUCGUUGGCUGUGCGUGUGCUUUUCCGUGGAAUUGCCCGUUUACGUUGAUGCCCCACACCCGUUUGUAGGUGAAUAGGCUAUGGGCCUGCGUUAAGUUUUUACUUAAGAGACCUAAGCAGACUAAUUAAAACUACGGACGUGCGAGCAAAGUUUUAUGGACAGAUUACCCCCUAUCUGAAUUCGCAAUGUCAUAAAUAUUGCGAUUUGUGCUCUUACUAAACGUGAAAGGCUUGCACGGCUGUGUUUAUGGCAAAAAAAUGCCUGACUGAAUUUCUAAAUGUACAGAGAUUUGGGCUAUUUGAUUGCAGCAA